UGCUCGAUUAGGAUAAAGGCAGUCUGCCAGUUUUGUACUCUGGAGGUAUCCGUUCAAUUCGGAUAUUGAGCAA
This 73-nucleotide transfer RNA is filed under the name compost metagenome. RNAcentral describes it as "tRNA-Thr". It matches the Rfam family "tRNA". Rfam says of the family: Transfer RNA (tRNA) molecules are approximately 80 nucleotides in length. Their secondary structure includes four short double-helical elements and three loops (D, anti-codon, and T loops). Further hydrogen bonds mediate the characteristic L-shaped molecular structure. tRNAs have two regions of fundamental functional importance: the anti-codon, which is responsible for specific mRNA codon recognition, and the 3' end, to which the tRNAs corresponding amino acid is attached (by aminoacyl-tRNA synthetases). tRNAs cope with the degeneracy of the genetic code in two manners: having more than one tRNA (with a specific anti-codon) for a particular amino acid; and 'wobble' base-pairing, i.e. permitting non-standard base-pairing at the 3rd anti-codon position. The record is from RNAcentral.